This 406-nucleotide ribosomal RNA is filed under the name uncultured bacterium. Its description in RNAcentral is "partial 16S ribosomal RNA". It matches the Rfam family "Bacterial small subunit ribosomal RNA", at positions 30 to 526 of the family's 1533-position model. The record is from RNAcentral.
AUUGAACGCUGGCGGCAGGCCUAACACAUGCAAGUCGAACGAGUGGCGGACGGGUGAGUAAUGUCUGGGAAACUGCCUGAUGGAGGGGGAUAACUACUGGAAACGGUAGCUAAUACCGAAUACCCUCGGCUGUGCCCAGAUGGGAUUAGAUAGUAGGGGGGGUAAAGGCUAACCUAGGCGACGACCCCUAGCUGGUCUGAGAGGAUGGCCAGCCACACUGGAACGGAGACAGGGUCCAGACUCCUGCGGGAGGCAGCAGUGGGGAAUAUUGCACAAUGGGCGCAAGCCUGAUGUAGCCACGCCGCGUGUAUGAAGAAGGCCUUCGGGUUGUAAAGUAAUUUCAGCGUGGAGGCGUUACCCGCAGAAGAAGCACCGGCUAACUCCGUGCCAGCCGCCGCGGUAAUAC